RNAcentral lists this ribosomal RNA (1316 nucleotides) under uncultured bacterium. RNAcentral's name for it is "bacterial SSU rRNA". It matches the Rfam family "Bacterial small subunit ribosomal RNA", at positions 89 to 1441 of the family's 1533-position model. The record is from RNAcentral.
UACUUAGUGGCAGACGGGUGAGUAACAUGUAGGUAUCUGCCCUUUGGCCUGGAAUAACACGAGGAAACUUGUGCUAAUACCGGAUAAGUCUUUACGGAGAAAGCUUUAUGCACCAUUGGAUGAGCCUGCACUUGAUUAGUUUGUUGGUGGGGUAAUGGCCUACCAAGACUGUGAUCAAUAGCUGAUUUGAGAGGAUGAUCAGCCACAUUGGGACUGAGACACGGCCCAAACUCCUACGGGAGGCAGCAGUGGGGAAUCUUGCACAAUGGAGGAAACUCUGAUGCAGCGAUGCCGCGUGAGUGAAGAAGGCCCUUGGGUUGUAAAGCUCUUUCGUCGGGGAAGAAAAUGACUGUACCCGAAUAAGAAGGUCCGGCUAACUUCGUGCCAGCAGCCGCGGUAAUGCGAAGGGACCUAGCGUAGUUCGGAAUUACUGGGCUUAAAGAGUUCGUAGGUGGUUGAAAAAGUUAGUGGUGAAAUCCCAGAGCUUAACUCUGGAACUGCCAUUAAAACUUUUCAGCUAGAGUAUGAUAGAGGAAAGCAGAAUUUCUAGUGUAGAGGUGAAAUUCGUAGAUAUUAGAAAGAAUACCAAUUGCGAAGGCAGCUUUCUGGAUCAUUACUGACACUGAGGAACGAAAGCAUGGGUAGCGAAGAGGAUUAGAUACCCUCGUAGUCCAUGCCGUAAACGAUGUGUGUUAGACGUUGGAAAUUUAUUUUCAGUGUCGCAGGGAAACCGAUAAACACACCGCCUGGGGAGUACGACCGCAAGGUUAAAACUCAAAUGAAUUGACGGGGACCCGCACAAGUAGUGGAGCAUGUGGUUUAAUUCGAAGAUACGCGCAGAACCUUACCAACACUUGACAUGUUCGUCGCGACUCUAAGAGAUUAGAGUUUUCGGUUCGGCCGGACGAAACACAGGUGCUGCAUGGCUGUCGUCAGCUCGUGUCGUGAGAUGUUGGGUUAAGUCCCGCAACGAGCGCAACCCUCACUUUUAGUUGCCAUCAUUAAGUUGGGCACUCUGAAAGAACUGCCAGUGAUAAGCUGGAGGAAGGUGGGGAUGACGUCAAGUCCUCAUGGCCCUUACGUGUUGGGCUACACACGUGCUACAAUGGUAUCUACAACAGGAAGCAAGACUGCGAAGUUAAGCAAAUCCCUAAAAGAUACCUCAGUUCGGAUUGCACUCUGCAACUCGAGUGCAUGAAGCUGGAAUUACUAGUAAUCGUGGAUCAGCGUGCCACGGUGAAUGCGUUCCCGGGUCUUGUACACACCGCCCGUCACACCAUGGGAGUUGGUUCUACCUUAAGGCAAGGUUCAAACCC